Molecule: ribosomal RNA, 174 nt
Filed under: uncultured bacterium
Lineage: Bacteria
Description: partial 16S ribosomal RNA
Rfam family: Bacterial small subunit ribosomal RNA
Source: RNAcentral
GUGAAGCUGGAUUCGCUAGUAAUCGCGCAUCAGCCAUGGCGCGGUGAAUACGUUCCCGGGCCUUGUACACACCGCCCGUCAAGCCAUGGAAGCCGGGGGGUGCCUGAAGUGUGCAGCCGCAAGGAGCGCCCUAAGGUAAAACCGGUGACUGGGGCUAAGUCGUAACAAGGUACC